RNAcentral lists this ribosomal RNA (253 nucleotides) under uncultured bacterium. RNAcentral's name for it is "partial 16S ribosomal RNA". It matches the Rfam family "Bacterial small subunit ribosomal RNA", at positions 524 to 776 of the family's 1533-position model. The record is from RNAcentral.
UACGAAGGGGGCUAGCGUUGUUCGGAUUUACUGGGCGUAAAGCGCGUGUAGGCGGGUCGUUAAGUUGGGGGUGAAAUCCCGAGGCUCAACCUCGGAACUGCCUUCAAAACUGGCGACCUGGAGCAAAGAAGAGGCGAGUGGAAUUGCGAGUGUAGAGGUGAAAUUCGUAGAUAUUCGCAGGAACACCAGUGGCGAAGGCGAGUCUCUGGACGACUCCUGACACUGAGGCACGAAAGCUGGGGGAGCAAACAGG